RNAcentral lists this long non-coding RNA (1335 nucleotides) under Bemisia tabaci. RNAcentral's name for it is "lncRNA ENSSSA2NGG012519". Lineage: Eukaryota; Metazoa; Arthropoda; Insecta; Hemiptera; Aleyrodidae. The record is from RNAcentral.
GGAGAUACUGUGAGUAUUUUUUCACCCCUCAGAAUUUGGGUGGACACAGUAACGGUGAACUAAACUCAAUUCUCAGUUUGUGCUUAUAAAUUUUCUCUGUGUUUUAGAAACUCUCAAGAUGGGGCUUUCAGAUCUUAAAAUCACAGUUAAAUCCAUAUUAACUUCAUCACAAAAACCGCUUACUCCUCGUGAACUACUCAGAGAUUUUAAAGAGAUAGAAGGAUAUGACUUUCCGUAUCAGAAACUUGGCUUCUCUGAUUUUUUACAAUGUCUGCAAAGCCAAGAUAUGUCAGAUGCAGUCAAGGUCCAAUAUCAAGGAGGCGUCCAAGUUCUUGUGCCAGUUCUCUCUGAGAAGUCGAAACACAUCGAUGAAUAGUCAUGAAACAAAGAAGUAAACAAACAAGAAUUGGAUCGAAAAGACCCUCGAUGUCAAGGAGGUUCGGAGGGCCUCCUCGAGCUAGGCCCCCUCGAUUAUCUACUCGUCCUCCAAGAUUUGAUUCGAAGCCGUUUUCAUCUUCCUCCAAUUAUCAGUCAAGUUCUUAUGGGCCAUCAUCCUACUCCAGCUCCAGUGCAUACAGUCGACCAGCAGCAGCACCCUCUUCUUCAGUUUACUCAUCAAACAAGGCGUAUUCUAGCUCAACAGUGCGUUCUACUUAUUCAUCAGGAAAUUCUGGUUCUCUAACUUCAUCAUAUCAGUCUGGUCAAAGGCCUCAGCCUGCUGGGAGACCUCUUCCUGAAGAGAGAGCUUUUUCAAAAGGAUCUACUAGUCAAUCUUCAACCUUAAAUUCCACAGGAAAAUCGGAGUUUUUCUCAAAUUCUACCAGGCAUUCUCCCUCAGCUCCUUCUUUUCUCAAAGAAAAAGUUGUUGAAUUUAUGAAAACAAGACAACAGGGUGUCAGAGAAGAUGACUUCUACAAUUACUUGUUGACGAGGAGUUUUAGAGAGUGUGGAAUCAAGACUGUACCAGAUCUGUUGAACUCCUGUUCAGAUAUAAUCGUACAAAGAAAUGGAUUAUACUACAUGAAACAAGCCAGUAAUGGUUCUAGUCAAUCAACCAGCAGCACCAAGCAGCCAUCUCCUGUCCCAGGAGGCUAUGAGGAUGAAGCUUUUGAGGACGACGAUGAUGAGUUCGAAUUCUAUUCAGAAGAAGACCAAGACACCGGUCAGUUCAACGGAGAUGUGGCAUGUUCAAAAGUUCCAUCAACUUCAAGUUGUAGUAACGGUCUGAAAAACCAUAUCAACUUUCAGAAUUGCAAAUCGCAAAUUAGUGCUGACAGUUGUGGAUCUGACUCAGGCUGUUAUGAUGCUGCAAAUGAAAAAUGGGCAAUAGAAUGA